Molecule: ribosomal RNA, 253 nt
Filed under: uncultured bacterium
Lineage: Bacteria
Description: partial 16S ribosomal RNA
Rfam family: Bacterial small subunit ribosomal RNA
Source: RNAcentral
UACGUAGGGGGCAAGCGUUGUCCGGAUUUAUUGGGCGUAAAGAGCGUGUAGGCGGCCAGGUAGGUCUGCUGUGAAAACUCGAGGCUUAACCUCGAGAUGUCGGCGGAAACCAUCUGGCUAGAGUCCGGAAGAGGAGAAUGGAAUUCCCGGUGUAGCGGUGAAAUGCGCAGAUAUCGGGAGGAACACCAAUGGCGAAGGCAGCUCGCUGGGACGUGACUGACGCUGAGACGCGAAAGCGUGGGGAGCAAACAGG